AAGAGCUACUUUGUAGAAGAAAUGGAAUACCACAGAAUAACAAGGAGAAAAGGUUGAAAGAUGCAAUACAAGAAGACUCUACAACUAAUGACAGAGGCAGAAGGAGAAAGAAGUUGAUCUCAGAGGCAUAAGAUACUUGUGGAAGUAGAAAUUAUCAAUUUAGUAAGUACCACAAGCAUACU
Molecule: long non-coding RNA, 182 nt
Organism: Sarcophilus harrisii (Tasmanian devil)
Lineage: Eukaryota; Metazoa; Chordata; Mammalia; Dasyuromorphia; Dasyuridae
Exons: 2
Source: RefSeq, a predicted model, not a curated record